Molecule: ribosomal RNA, 468 nt
Filed under: uncultured bacterium
Lineage: Bacteria
Description: partial 16S ribosomal RNA
Rfam family: Bacterial small subunit ribosomal RNA
Source: RNAcentral
GACGAACGCUGGCGGCGUGCUUAACACAUGCAAGUCGAACGGAAAGGCCCUGCUUUUGUGGGGUGCUCGAGUGGCGAACGGGUGAGUAACACGUGAGUAACCUGCCCUUGACUUUGUGAUAACUUCAGGAAACUGGGGCUAAUACCGGAUAUGAGCUCCUGCUGCAUGGUGUGGGUUGGAGAGUUUCGGCGGUUGGGGAUGGACUCGCGGCUUAUCAGCUUGUUGGUGGGGUAGUGGCUUACCAAGGCUUUGACGGGUAGCCGGCCUGAGAGGGUGAACGGCCACAUGGGGACUGAGAUACGGCGCAGACUCCUACGGGAGGCAGCAGUGGGGAAUAUUGCAGAAUGGGCGGAAGCCUGAUGCAGCAACGCCGCGUGCGGGAUGACGGCCUUCGGGUUGUAAACCGCUUUCGCAGGUGACGAAGCGUGAGUGACGGUAAUGGGUAAAGAAGCACCGGCUAACUACGUG